CUCAAACGUUCUGCGCACAAAGGAACUAUUUUGCUUUUACAAUUAUCCCAAACUUACCCUCUUCUCGUACUAUUCAAAGACAAGAUGUCGCGAAAGUCAAGUAUUGUUCUUCAAUAGGGGUCUAAGACGGUGACCUGUAGGUAAUCUGUUGCCGUAAUAUAUCCGUUCGCAGCUGCGGAAAUUAAUAAAGAGUGGUGUCUUUCCUUCCUAUUAUUAUUCGCCAUAAUCACAUUCAUAGCUAUGCCACUUGAGCAUUUGGUUAACUAAAGGCAAUGAUGCCUUUGUACGUUUUCGAGCUUGAAGCCUCGGAGCAACUCGUUUGAGAGGUAGGCAUAUGUGAGAGUGUGCUUUUGAAAUUUAAAAAGUACAGCUCAAGGACUUCAUUCAGGUGAGAAGAGAAAGCCGGUGGUCUUUCCGGAGACUUAGCCAAUCGCGGAUGCCUGACGAAGUGUGUGAAAAGCUUUACUGAUAUACCUCUUUCUACAGGUUCUCUUUAUGCUAAACUAAACUUUAAACCCAAGAUGCAACAGCAGUUAUGCGAAAACCCGCAAGUUAUAUUAUGACGUUUCAUAAUGUAAGGCUUCGGUCAGGAGUUCUACGAGAUUUCUUUGUGGUACUGCAUCGAUGACACUAUUUCGUUUCUGGCUACUAUGUACCUCUCUCAUCGUUAGAGCACAAGAGGCUGCAGUGGAAUUCACGUUUCAUAUCAAAACAUGGAACUCUAGGUAAACAAUCGCUCUUUAACAAACGCCACUUCAUGUGAUGAUGACUUCAUGAAAGUAUGCAACUGCACGGCGAGUCGCAAAGUGUACGACUUGAGUGACUGCCAGCGACCUCAGCUCGAAUAAUAUGUGGGCACAUUUCUUAAAUUAACUUGUUAAUGUGAAAUACCCUGGCGGCUACGCAUGUACAAAAUAUUGAAUUGAUUAAACAAUA
Rhipicephalus sanguineus (brown dog tick) is the source of this 936-nucleotide long non-coding RNA. RefSeq lists it as uncharacterized. The record is from RefSeq and is a predicted model, not a curated record. NCBI's taxonomy places the organism in Eukaryota, Metazoa, Arthropoda, Arachnida, Ixodida, Ixodidae. The transcript is spliced from 3 exons.